RNAcentral lists this ribosomal RNA (465 nucleotides) under uncultured Klebsiella sp. RNAcentral's name for it is "bacterial SSU rRNA". It matches the Rfam family "Bacterial small subunit ribosomal RNA", at positions 338 to 795 of the family's 1533-position model. Lineage: Bacteria; Pseudomonadati; Pseudomonadota; Gammaproteobacteria; Enterobacterales; Enterobacteriaceae. The record is from RNAcentral.
CCUACGGGCGGCUGCAGUGGGGAAUAUUGCACAAUGGGCGCAAGCCUGAUGCAGCCAUGCCGCGUGUGUGAAGAAGGCCUUCGGGUUGUAAAGCACUUUCAGCGGGGAGGAAGGCGUUAAGGUUAAUAACCUUGGCGAUUGACGUUACCCGCAGAAGAAGCACCGGCUAACUCCGUGCCAGCAGCCGCGGUAAUACGGAGGGUGCAAGCGUUAAUCGGAAUUACUGGGCGUAAAGCGCACGCAGGCGGUCUGUCAAGUCGGAUGUGGAAUCCCCGGGCUCAACCUGGGAACUGCAUUCGAAACUGGCAGGCUAGAGUCUUGUAGAGGGGGGUAGAAUUCCAGGUGUAGCGGUGAAAUGCGUAGAGAUGUGGAGGAACACCAGUGGCGAAGGCGACUUUCUGGUCUGUAACUGACGCUGAGGCGCGAAAGCGUGGGGAGCAAACAGGAUUAGAUACCCGGGUAGUC